Long non-coding RNA from Vigna angularis (adzuki bean), 196 nucleotides. RefSeq lists it as uncharacterized. The record is from RefSeq and is a predicted model, not a curated record. The transcript has 3 exons. NCBI's taxonomy places the organism in Eukaryota, Viridiplantae, Streptophyta, Magnoliopsida, Fabales, Fabaceae.
CGACUUCAUUUUACACUUUGGCCCCGAUAAAAUACGUUGAUAACAUGGUGGUGUUAUUUGCUUGUACGAUGUUUAUGUACUUUGAGAAAAGGUUGUGCGGUGUUGUUAAGAGGAUUCAUUUUAGUCCAUUAUACUCGGAAACGUCCACAGAAUCGUCAUGUUUGGACGCUUCAUAACUAUAACAGUUAUCUGCGUU